GGAAUCUUCGGCAAUGGGGGCAACCCUAACCGAGCAACGCCGCGUGAGUGAAGAAGGUUUUCGGAUCGUAAAGCUCUGUUGUUGGUGAAGAAGGAUAGAGGCAGUAACUGGUCUUUAUUUGACGGUAAUCAACCAGAAAGUCACGGCUAACUACGUGCCAG
Molecule: ribosomal RNA, 161 nt
Filed under: uncultured bacterium
Lineage: Bacteria
Description: partial 16S rRNA
Rfam family: Bacterial small subunit ribosomal RNA
Source: RNAcentral